RNAcentral lists this ribosomal RNA (504 nucleotides) under uncultured bacterium. Its description in RNAcentral is "partial 16S ribosomal RNA". It matches the Rfam family "Bacterial small subunit ribosomal RNA", at positions 30 to 523 of the family's 1533-position model. The record is from RNAcentral.
AUUGAACGCUGGCGGCAGGCCUAACACAUGCAAGUCGAACGGUAGCACAGAGAGCUUGCUCUCGGGUGACGAGUGGCGGACGGGUGAGUAAUGUCUGGGAAACUGCCCGAUGGAGGGGGAUUACUACUGGAAACGGUAGCUAAUACCGCAUAACGUCGCAAGACCAAAGUGGGGGACCUUCGGGCCUCACACCAUCGGAUGUGCCCAGAUGGGAUUAGCUUGUAGGUGGGGUAAUGGCUCACCUAGGCGACGAUCCCUAGCUGGUCUGAGAGGAUGACCAGCCACACUGGAACUGAGACACGGUCCAGACUCCUACGGGAGGCAGCAGUGGGGAAUAUUGCACAAUGGGCGCAAGCCUGAUGCAGCCAUGCCGGGCGUAUGAAGAAGGCCUUCGGGUUGUAAAGUACUUUCAGCGGGGAGGAAGGCGGUGAAGUUAAUAACUUCACCGAUUGACGUUACCCGCAGAAGAAGCACCGGCUAACUCCGUGCCAGCCGCCGCGGUAA